Molecule: ribosomal RNA, 332 nt
Filed under: uncultured bacterium
Lineage: Bacteria
Description: bacterial SSU rRNA
Rfam family: Bacterial small subunit ribosomal RNA
Source: RNAcentral
CGUGCAGGCGGUUCGGUAAGUUGGGCGUGAAAUCUCCCGGCUCAACUGGGAGAGGUCGUCCAAUACUACCGGACUCGAGAGCAGUAGAGGAAGACGGAAUUCCCGGUGUAGUGGUGAAAUGCGUAGAUAUCGGGAGGAACACCAGUGGCGAAGGCGGUCUUCUGGACUGCUUCUGACGCUCAGACGCGAAAGCUAGGGUAGUAAACGAGAUUAGAGACCCCGGUAAUCCUAGCCGUAAACGAUGUGAACUUGGCGUCGGUGGCUUAAACACCAUCGGUGCCGCAGCCAACGCGAUAAGUUCACCGCCUGGGGACUACGAUCGCAAGAUUAAA